CAGCAGCCGCGGGAAUACGUAGGGGGCAAGCGUUAUCCGGAAUUACUGGGUGUAAAGGGAGCGUAGACGGUUAAACAAGUCUGAAGUGAAAUGCCGGGGCUCAACCCCGGAGCUGCUUUGGGAACUGUAGAACUGGAGUGUCGGAGGGGUAAGCGGAAUUCCCAGUGUAGCGGUGAAAUGCGUAGAUAUUGGGAGGAACACCGGCGGCGAAGGCGGCUUACUGGACGACAACUGACGUUGAGGCUCGAAGGCGUGGGUAGCAAACUGGAUUAGAGACCCGCGUAGUCCCUGUCUCUUAUAC
Molecule: ribosomal RNA, 301 nt
Filed under: uncultured bacterium
Lineage: Bacteria
Description: partial 16S ribosomal RNA
Rfam family: Bacterial small subunit ribosomal RNA
Source: RNAcentral